This 429-nucleotide ribosomal RNA is filed under the name Actinomycetes bacterium. Its description in RNAcentral is "Actinobacteria bacterium partial 16S ribosomal RNA". It matches the Rfam family "Bacterial small subunit ribosomal RNA", at positions 355 to 776 of the family's 1533-position model. The record is from RNAcentral. Lineage: Bacteria; Bacillati; Actinomycetota; Actinomycetes.
UAGGGAAUCUUCCGCAAUGGGCGAAAGCCUGACGGAGCAACGCCGCGUGAGUGAUGAAGGUCUUCGGAUCGUAAAACUCUGUUAUUAGGGAAGAACAAAUGUGUAAGUAACUAUGCACGUCUUGACGGUACCUAAUCAGAAAGCCACGGCUAACUCCGUGCCAGCAGCCGCGGUAAUACGUAGGUGGCAAGCGUUAUCCGGAAUUAUUGGGCGUAAAGCGCGCGUAGGCGGUUUUUUAAGUCUGAUGUGAAAGCCCACGGCUCAACCGUGGAGGGUCAUUGGAAACUGGAAAACUUGAGUGCAGAAGAGGAAAGUGGAAUUCCAUGUGUAGCGGUGAAAUGCGCAGAGAUAUGGAGGAACACCAGUGGCGAAGGCGACUUUCUGGUCUGUAACUGACGCUGAUGUGCGAAAGCGUGGGGAUCAAACAGG